This 31-nucleotide non-coding RNA is filed under the name Rattus norvegicus (Norway rat). Lineage: Eukaryota; Metazoa; Chordata; Mammalia; Rodentia; Muridae. The record is from RNAcentral.
UGAUAUCUCCUUCACCAAGAAAGAAGGUUCU